Molecule: ribosomal RNA, 460 nt
Filed under: uncultured bacterium
Lineage: Bacteria
Description: partial 16S ribosomal RNA
Rfam family: Bacterial small subunit ribosomal RNA
Source: RNAcentral
CCUACGGGAGGCAGCAGUGAGGAAUAUUGGUCAAUGGACGAGAGUCUGAACCAGCAAAGUAGCGUGAAGGAUGAAUGCCCUAUGGGUUGUAAACUUCUUUUAUAAAGGAAUAAAACGAGGCACGUGUGCCUUAUUGCAUGUACUUUAUGAAUAAGGAUCGGCUAACACCGUGCCAGCAGCCGCGGUAAUACGGAGGAUCCGAGCGUUAUCCGGAUUUAUUGGGUUUAAAGGGAGCGUAGAUGGGUUGUUAAGUCAGUUGUGAAAGUUUGCGGCUUAACCGUAAAAUUGCAAUUGAUACUGGCAGUCUUGAGUACAGUUGAGGUAGGCGGAAUUCGUGGUGUAGCGGUGAAAUGCUUAGAGAUCACGAAGAACCCCGAUUGCGAAGGCAGCUUACUAAACUGUGACUGACAUUGAUGCUCGAAAGUGUGGGUAUCAAACAGGAUUAGAUACCCCAGUAGUC